UGGUUGUACAUUCGGGAGUGAGGUUAAGCCAUGCAUGUGUAAGUUGACUGUUGUAGACUGCGGAUAGCUCAAUAUAAUGACUAGAAUCUUUGUAACAAACAUUUAUGGAAUAUAGGCGGAAACUCUGCCGGUAAUCCUAGAAAAAUCAACCGAAGGCAAAGUAUUUGUAUGAAUGGAAUGAAAGUUUUCCAAACUUGUUGCGCUACGGGUCAUCCUAUCAGUUGAGCACAUUAGGGUAGUGUCUUAAGGUGGCUAUCACGGGUGACGGGGAAUGAGGGUUUGAUUCCGGAGAGGGAGCCUGAGAGAUCGCUGCCACAUCUAAGGAUGGCAGCAGGCGCGAAAAUUACCCAGUUUCAAAUGGAAGAGGUAGUAAAUUCCCGGAGUGACCAGAUAAUUAUCUGCGAUCACAAAGUUAAGACUUCAAAAAUUUUAACUAUAUUUU
RNAcentral lists this ribosomal RNA (442 nucleotides) under uncultured eukaryote. RNAcentral's name for it is "bacterial SSU rRNA". It matches the Rfam family "Eukaryotic small subunit ribosomal RNA", at positions 21 to 546 of the family's 1831-position model. The record is from RNAcentral.